Molecule: ribosomal RNA, 750 nt
Filed under: uncultured cyanobacterium
Lineage: Bacteria; Bacillati; Cyanobacteriota
Description: bacterial SSU rRNA
Rfam family: Bacterial small subunit ribosomal RNA
Source: RNAcentral
GGCGGACGGGUGAGUAACGCGUGAGAAUCAGCCUUCAGGUUGGGGACAACCACUGGAAACGGUGGCUAAUACCGAAUAAGCCUAACGGUGAAAGAUUUAUUGCCUGAAGAUGAGCUCGCGUCUGAUUAGCUAGUUGGUAGGGUAAUGGCCUACCAAGGCGUCGAUCGGUAACUGGUCUGAGAGGAUGACCAGUCACACUGGGACUGAGACACGGCCCAGACUCCUACGGGAGGCAGCAGUGGGGAAUUUUCCGCAAUGGGCGAAAGCCUGACGGAGCAAUACCGCGUGAGGGAGGAAGGCUCUUGGGUCGUAAACCUCUUUUCUCAGGGAAGAACAAAAUGACGGUACCUGAGGAAUCAGCAUCGGCUAACUCCGUGCCAGCAGCCGCGGUAAUACGGAGGAUGCAAGCGUUAUCCGGAAUGAUUGGGCGUAAAGCGUCCGCAGGUGGCAGUUCAAGUCUGCUGUCAAAGACUGGGGCUCAACCCUGGAAAGGCAGUGGAAACUGAACAGCUAGAGUGCGGUGGGGGCAGAGGGAAUUCCUGGUGUAGCGGUGAAAUGCGUAGAGAUCAGGAAGAACACCGGUGGCGAAAGCGCUCCGCUAGGCCGCAACUGACACUCAUGGACGAAAGCUAGGGGAGCGAAUGGGAUUAGAUACCCCAGUAGUCCUAGCCGUAAACGAUGGAUACUAGGCGUAGCUCGUAUCGACCCGAGCUGUGCCGUAGCUAACGCGUUAAGUAUCCCGCCUGGGGA